CCUACGGGAGGCAGCAGUGGGGAAUCUUGCGCAAUGGGCGAAAGCCUGACGCAGCCAUGCCGCGUGAAUGAUGAAGGUCUUAGGAUUGUAAAAUUCUUUUCACCGGGGACGAUAAUGACGGUACCCGGAGAAGAAGCCCCGGCUAACUUCGUGCCAGCAGCCGCGGUAAUACGAAGGGGGCUAGCGUUGCUCGGAAUUACUGGGCGUAAAGGGAGCGUAGGCGGAUAGUUUAGUCAGAGGUGAAAGCCCAGGGCUCAACCUUGGAAUUGCCUUUGAUACUGGCUAUCUUGAGUAUGGGAGAGGUUAGCGGAACUCCGAGUGUAGAGGUGAAAUUCGUAGAUAUUCGGAAGAACACCAGUGGCGAAGGCGGCUAACUGGCCCAUUACUGACGCUGAGGCUCGAAAGCGUGGGGAGCAAACAGGAUUAGAUACCCUGGUAGUCCACGCCGUAAACGAUGAGUGCUAGUUGUCGGCAUGCAUGCAUGUCGGUGACGCGAGCUACGACAUAAGACACUCCGCCGUCGGGAGGUACGGUCGGCGAGAAGUUAAACGUAACGUAAAGGUAAAGUUAGACGGUCGUUGAGACGUUGCCGACGGACGACGACGAGGGAGGUUAGG
Molecule: ribosomal RNA, 617 nt
Filed under: uncultured bacterium
Lineage: Bacteria
Description: bacterial SSU rRNA
Rfam family: Bacterial small subunit ribosomal RNA (bases 1-519)
Source: RNAcentral